This 405-nucleotide ribosomal RNA is filed under the name uncultured bacterium. Its description in RNAcentral is "bacterial SSU rRNA". It matches the Rfam family "Bacterial small subunit ribosomal RNA", at positions 355 to 774 of the family's 1533-position model. The record is from RNAcentral.
UGGGGAAUUUUCCGCAAUGGGCGAAAGCCUGACGGAGCAAUACCGCGUGAGGGAUGACGGCCUAUGGGUUGUAAACCUCUUUUUUCAGGGAGGAAUCAAUGACGUGUACCUGAAGAAUAAGCAUCGGCUAACUCCGUGCCAGCAGCCGCGGUAAGACGGAGGAUGCAAGUGUUAUCCGGAAUCACUGGGCGUAAAGCGUCUGUAGGUGGUCCAAUAAGUCAACUGUUAAAUCUUGAGGCUCAACCUCAAAAUCGCAGUCGAAACUAUUAGACUAGAGUAUAGUAGGGGUAAAGGGAAUUUCCAGUGGAGCGGUGAAAUGCGUAGAUAUUGGAAGGAACACCGAUGGCGAAGGCACUUUACUGGGCUAUUACUAACACUCAGAGACGAAAGCUAGGGUAGCAAAUG